This 563-nucleotide long non-coding RNA is filed under the name Phoenix dactylifera (date palm). RNAcentral's name for it is "long non-coding RNA (PDAC_LNC021638)". The record is from RNAcentral. Lineage: Eukaryota; Viridiplantae; Streptophyta; Magnoliopsida; Arecales; Arecaceae.
AUUUGAGAUCAAUUAGCAUCUAUUAGUUUUCUUUCUGUAGAAUGAGCAUCUAUAAGUCCGAAAUAGGAUUCAACUCUGUGCCAACUUCUAUGUUAAGAAGUAAUUCAUAACAGUCUGGAUGGUUGUUAUUUUUAUUCCCCCUAUUCUUGCUUCUUUUCUCGUUUGUGCUACACAUAAAGAUACCUAACCUCUUACUUAGUGUUGUACACAUAUAUUUAUCUCCCUUUUUUCUCGAAACAUAUGUAUGUUUCUUUCAUUCCUUGAUUUUCCUCAAAAUAAAACAAAACAAAACAAAAACUAGGACAUAAUCAUUUCUUUACUAUGCAAAGUGCAAACAAUAUGCAGCCAGCAGCGGCUUCAAUGAUACAAGGCUGUAGAAAGUAUUACUUCCCAUACUAAUAUCCAUGCGAAAGUCAUUCUGCACUUGGUUUUUAUUUUGUCAAAGAAAAUUGGACUCAGUUGAUAAUGACAAAGGUGUUUAUAGGGUUGUAUCCACCUUUGCAGGCCAUAUACUAUAGCUACACAAGAGAGAGAGAGAGAGAGAGAGAGAGAGAGAGAGAGAG